Molecule: long non-coding RNA, 2047 nt
Filed under: Marmota monax (woodchuck)
Lineage: Eukaryota; Metazoa; Chordata; Mammalia; Rodentia; Sciuridae
Source: RNAcentral
GCCUUUUAAAAGGAUUGAAAGCAAUGUAAAAUCUUAAUAUUUAAACAAAAGAUAAGUGCUUCACAGCUGUUCAGAAAUUUCAGAUUGCCCUUUUCUUGUUUGUGUAUGCAUCACUAACACAUAAUACUAUGCUUAGCUACAUGUAUUUAUUGAAUAAUCAUUUUUUUACAGUGAAUAUGUCCCCUGCAAUCUUCUUCUUCUUCUUUUUGCAUAAAUUUAAAGUUUCACUUAGUGCCUGUGUUGCAUAAAGAGAGUGGAGUAACAAAAUAAUUGCUUAGAUAAUUUCAGUUCCCAAACGACUUUUGGAUUAAAUGUCUAAAAAUCAGUGAGGUAGAAACAGGAUAGAAAUCACUACAUUAAAUGGCAGCAAAUAUUAACUGUGCUGUCUUAGUGCCUUCCUUUACUAAUUCAGUCCUUCUUUACCUUCAGCAACACUUGCUCAUCUUCAGAAUGCCCUAAUGGCAAGAUUCUGCAAGAAAAGAAAGGAAGGAAAAGAGAAAUUAGAAUACAUAAAAUCAGUGGAAUGAGUUUUAUCAUAACUAAAUUCUAAAAUAUUGUCAAAAUAAUCACAUUUGAAGCAAAAAUGCCAACAGCCUACAGCAUUAGACCUUAACCUACACUAACGUCCUUCACCAGUGACACUCUCCCAAGGCUUGACAAUCUUCAUUUCUUCUUCCACUGGCCGGGGAGCAGUGCACUAUGUACAUGUUUCCUAGAAAAAGCGAGCACACGCACACAUGUGCACACAUGUUAGAUAUAACUGUUCAAUUUCCUUGUUUCAAGAUGUUUGGUUAGUAGGUAUAAGUUAGUGCACUGUACAGUCUCAGAAAUUUCACCCAUGUUUCCAUAAUAAUCACAAGACUUUGAGACCCAUGACUUUCCAUGUAUGCACACCCAUCUUUUCCACUCAUGUCUCUCUCUCUCUCUCUCUCUCUCUCUCUCUCUCUAUAUAUAUAUAUAUAUAUAUAUAUAUACCCAGUGGAUUCCAAUUUUUAAGUUCAACAAAGUGGGCCAAAUUUUCAUCAAAACUCUCUUCAGGCCAUGUAACUAGAAAUAGUAAGAUUAUUUACUUUCAACUACCAUAACUGUGCAAAAAGAUAGACCAUUAUAAGUUAGUAGCCUGGGCAUUGACUGUUAAUUUCUUUAUUCUCCUACUAUACUUUCAAGAAUCGCAUUUACAUUUUCAUACAUACCAACACUGACAAGUAUGUGGAAUCAUUUGGUCACUUUGGUCUGAUUGGGUGGAAGAGUUAAGGGGCUUUUAUAAUUUCACAGGAGCCUAAGACAUUAAGACAGGAGCCUAAGUCACUGAAUCUCCAUCAUGAGUGUCUAGAUCAGUAGGGUUCUAUCUCUGUUGGCAUUUUAGCCACACACCUCUUUUUAAUGUAUCAUGUUCCACAUUUAUCACUUACACUACAGUUAUAUAGGCACUCCAUAAAUAUUCACUGGAUAAAUACAUGAAUGACUACAUGACUGAAUUUCUAGCUGUAGAAUAUCAUCCAGCAAUUAAGGGCCAAUUGAAACUCUGUUAAAUAAUUGUGCAUAAAUUUCAUAAGACUUCAUGCUUUAAGUGAUAUUCAAGAAGUUUUACAACAUUUCUGGAAUUCUGAAAUGUGUUUCCAAACCAGCUCAAUUGAAACUGAUCUUUGUUCAAUGUCACUCUCCAAUGGCCUUUGGCCCCUGGAAAUUACCACAUAUUUCAUAAGAAAUUCAGUCAUGGUUAUAGUUAUCACUACUAAGGAAAUUUCUUGAUCUUGUAGGCUGAAAUUUUAGAUUUUAUGAGUAUUAUUCUUCUUACCUUGGACUCUGAUGAAAACAUAUUACCACCCAUAUAUCAUGGCUCCUUAAUGGAAAUGAACAAUUGCCUUUUGAUAAGAUGUUUUAGUUCUUUCCCAAGUGUAAAUAAACACUAAAAGCCACUGAGAAUCAACAGAAAUGUCAGUAGCCUUGAAAAUAUGUUGAAUCUAUUAAAUGAUGUGAAAAUGAUGUGAGCUUAGUAAUAAAUUCAGCAACAAAAUAAUAAAAUUCAUCAACAAUUUUAAGCCAU